This is a long non-coding RNA of Xiphophorus hellerii (green swordtail), 198 nucleotides long. RefSeq lists it as uncharacterized. The record is from RefSeq and is a predicted model, not a curated record. NCBI's taxonomy places the organism in Eukaryota, Metazoa, Chordata, Actinopteri, Cyprinodontiformes, Poeciliidae. The transcript is spliced from 2 exons.
AAAUUUAUUGAAGGCAUUUUUAUCUUAGGCAUUUCAAAUCCUCCCUUUGGUCCUUCAAUAUCAACUUCUGGACCUUUGAUGUCUAUUUGAGGUGAUUUGAUAUCUCCUUUGAUGUUUGAACUUGAAACAUCCAUGUCACCUUUGAGUUUGGGGCCUUUCAAGUUGAAAUCCACAUCUGGCAUGGAUAUUUUUGGUCCA